GUUUGUUUUUUUUACACAUUAUGAGAAGCUUUUUGACUACUAAAAUGAAGCUAAAAACUAACUAAAAUUGUUAACAGAUCGAUAAAGACUUUAUAACGUUCUAUGCAACCAGCACUUCAAUACCUUCCUUGUGGCAAAAUCAUUGGAAUACAUCAAAAAACUUCAUGAAGGAAAACAUUAAGGACUAAAAGAUUACAGAAACAUUGAACGACUUGGGAGAUACUAAUUUUGGAGAAGGUGAUUUCGUGCUAAAGAUAAUUAAAAGUAUUCACUUCUAAUUAUUUUCAAUAGCAGCAGUUUCAAAAAACCUGACACCGGAGCCAAGUCAAGAAGCAAGUUCACCAUCAAAGAGUGACUGAUGGCAUUCAUCUUUGAAGCAGAGACGAUGCAAAGUAUUAGAGGACAACAUAGCAUUCCGGAAAUCCAGAGGUGAAACUAUUCAACCUCUAAUACUUACAUUUUACAUUAAGGGAACAAAUUAAUACUUAAUUUCGUUAUAUGGUCCCAAAUCAAGACAACCAAUGUCAUAAAAGCUGUGGACGUCUGUUUCAAAUACUUUUUUUGUUCAACUUAAACUUUAUAGAAACAUGAAUCCAGAACUGUCAACAAUGCAACCUACGUUAAGUAUAUAAUUUUAUUUAAUUAUAAACAGAAGUAAGUAACUCUGUUGUUUUUAUUUGUGGUGUAUUAUUUCUUGGGUUUACUUUUUUUGAAAUUUUUUUUAUUUCUUAACUACAUUCAAAAUAAAAUGAUUUGAACACAAUAUGUAAAGUAAGCACAUUAAGUUAGAAAAACAAGUAAACAAGAAUCAUAAUUGCAACACAAGAAAUUACACACACAAAAUAAA
Molecule: long non-coding RNA, 847 nt
Organism: Eupeodes corollae
Lineage: Eukaryota; Metazoa; Arthropoda; Insecta; Diptera; Syrphidae
Exons: 3
Source: RefSeq, a predicted model, not a curated record